Molecule: long non-coding RNA, 218 nt
Organism: Monodelphis domestica (gray short-tailed opossum)
Lineage: Eukaryota; Metazoa; Chordata; Mammalia; Didelphimorphia; Didelphidae
Rfam family: DAOA antisense RNA 1 conserved region 1
Source: Rfam
AAACUUACUCUAGUAUCUUACAAUGCUCCUCUACUUACUUUAUUUGUUCUUUACAUGUUCUUUGACUUUUAUUUUCAAAUAUUCAUGCAAAUGCCUUGUGAAUCAGAGAAAGGUUGUAAAUGAAUACUGUAUUCUCAUUCAAGUUAGCACCAAAGAGUGUAGGCAGUUUCUGUGAGCUGGGCCACUGAUAUUCUAGCCUAACAUAUGAUUUGGAAAAU